AUGGGAAACAGAAAGGCCGCACUUCCUCUUAAACCCCCACCCCCGAACUAUGCUGCAGUCAUGAGCCCAGAGGAAAAAAAAGACCAUCGACUGGAUGACUUCACCUCACUGCCAAUACGAUGUCGUCACUCAGCGGCGUGCUUUAGUCAUCAGAUGGACCAACUGAGGUCUGCAGACUAAACACAGACCGUUAUGAAUCUCCUGCUGCACUGACUGAGGCUGAAGUCACAUUAGUUGCUGAUAAAUGUGAAAUGCUAAUCACUCUCUCCGGAACGCUGGUAAAAAAAGAUUUGUCAAAAGCAAUCUCCAUUAGGAGCUCUAAAAGCAAACACAGCCUAUUCUAAGGGAUUUUAAAACUCAUUCUCAGACACAAAUGAAUGUAAAUAAUUGUGUGUACUCUGAGAAUAACUUUGAAAUCAAUGUUAAAUGCUAUUUGUGUCAUUUGUGAUGGUUAGCUAAACUAUGUUGAAAUGAAAUGAACCGUCAGACUACCUUUAUACAUU
Cyprinus carpio carpio is the source of this 503-nucleotide long non-coding RNA. The record is from Ensembl. Lineage: Eukaryota; Metazoa; Chordata; Actinopteri; Cypriniformes; Cyprinidae.